Molecule: ribosomal RNA, 460 nt
Filed under: uncultured bacterium
Lineage: Bacteria
Description: partial 16S ribosomal RNA
Rfam family: Bacterial small subunit ribosomal RNA
Source: RNAcentral
CCUACGGGUGGCAGCAGUGAGGAAUAUUGGUCAAUGGCCGGAAGCCUGAACCAGCCAAGUCGCGUGAGGGAAGACGGCCCUACGGGUUGUAAACCUCUUUUGCCGGGGAGCAAGCCUGAGCACGUGUGCCCAGGCGGAGAGUCCCCGGAGAAAAAGCAUCGGCUAACUCCGUGCAAGCAGCCGCGGAAAUACGGAGGAUGCGAGGGGUAUCCGCUUUUAUUGGGUUUAAGGGGUGCGCAGGCGGGCUGGUAAGCCGGCGGUAAAAAUUCAGGGCUCAACCCUGUCGAGCCGUUGGAACUGGCAUUCUUGAGUGGGCGAGAAGUAUGCGGAAUGCGUGGUGUAGCAGUGAAAUGCAUAGAUAUCACGCAGAACGCCGAUUGCGAAGGCAGCAUACCGGCGCCCAACUGACGCUGAGGCACGAAAGCGUGGGUAUCGAACAGGAUUAGAUACCCUAGUAGUC